AUUGAACGCUGGCGGCAGGCCUAACACAUGCAAGUCGAGCGGUAACAGAGAGUAGCUUGCUACUUUGCUGACGAGCGGCGGACGGGUGAGUAAUGCUUGGGAAUAUGCCUUAUGGUGGGGGACAACAGUUGGAAACGACUGCUAAUACCGCAUGAUGUCUACGGACCAAAGUGGGGGACCUUCGGGCCUCACGCCAUAAGAUUAGCCCAAGUGGGAUUAGCUAGUUGGUGAGGUAAUGGCUCACCAAGGCGACGAUCCCUAGCUGGUUUGAGAGGAUGAUCAGCCACACUGGGACUGAGACACGGCCCAGACUCCUACGGGAGGCAGCAGUGGGGAAUAUUGCACAAUGGGCGCAAGCCUGAUGCAGCCAUGCCGCGUGUGUGAAGAAGGCCUUCGGGUUGUAAAGCACUUUCAGUAAGGAGGAAAGGUUAAGUGUUAAUAGCACUUAGCUGUGACGUUACUUACAGAAGAAGCACCGGCUAACUCCGUGCCAGCAGCCGCGGUAAUACGGAGGGUGCGAGCGUUAAUCGGAAUUACUGGGCGUAAAGCGUACGCAGGCGGUUUGUUAAGCGAGAUGUGAAAGCCCCGGGCUCAACCUGGGAACUGCAUUUCGAACUGGCAAACUAGAGUGUGAUAGAGGGUGGUAGAAUUUCAGGUGUAGCGGUGAAAUGCGUAGAGAUCUGAAGGAAUACCGAUGGCGAAGGCAGCCACCUGGGUCAACACUGACGCUCAUGUACGAAAGCGUGGGGAGCAAACAGGAUUAGAUACCCUG
Molecule: ribosomal RNA, 772 nt
Filed under: Pseudoalteromonas sp. B304
Lineage: Bacteria; Pseudomonadati; Pseudomonadota; Gammaproteobacteria; Alteromonadales; Pseudoalteromonadaceae
Description: bacterial SSU rRNA
Rfam family: Bacterial small subunit ribosomal RNA
Source: RNAcentral